This 2022-nucleotide long non-coding RNA is filed under the name Homo sapiens (human). RNAcentral describes it as "HSALNT0388047". Lineage: Eukaryota; Metazoa; Chordata; Mammalia; Primates; Hominidae. The record is from RNAcentral.
UGAAGUCUUCCUACUGAUCUCACCUCAUGAGAGCAAGGUGCCACUACUGCGGGCUACCUUCCCAUGGGAGGCGGGGUCACUGACCCUCUACAUAGGGCUGCCACCUAGAGGGUGACAGGCAUUCCAACAAACCUGGCUUGGGCAGUUUGUAAGAACAGGAAAUGGUCCCUGCUCAGGUUCAGUAAACCCCUCUGCCCUUUCUCCUCUUGCGGAGGAGCAUCAGCACUCUCGUUCCUCAUUUCUCAGGCCAUGCGCUCUCCGUCUAGCUCUUCUGUUGCCAGGCAUGCUCUCCUGGUACCGUGGCUCUCAAAUCUGUCUUUCUGGGUGAGCAGGGACAGAACAAGCAUGGCUUAGGGAGACGUGGGAGCAGUGGCAGCUGGAGUGACAGGGGCUGGGGGUCCGGCUCUGCACUGCGCCUCUGCCUCUGCCUCUGCCCCGCAAGUCCACUACCAUCUCAGUUCUCCUGCCUUGAGAAACAACCGUCCAGCCUGGUCUGACUCUAUCAAGGAAGUGGCUGCCAUUUUUUUUUUUACCCUAUGUGAACAGUCAGCUCCUAAGCCCUGGUACCAUCCUACCUCUAUUGCUGGCAAUUAGGCAGGAGAGCCUUGAAGCCAGGUGGCUGAGGGAUGCUGGGGACAAACUGAGCCUACCUGUGUGUUCUGAUGGCAGGACAGAAGAAAAAUCUAGAAGCGAGGUCCAGAGACGCUCUAAAUUCCCCGGGUUCUUAGCUCUGGCUUGCAGCUAGAAAGGUGAAUAGGCCGCAGCCUUUCAGAGGGGGCUUCCCUGGGUGUGGGGUGGGGCCAAGCCCCGUGAGGGUGGUCAGAGCUGUGCUGCCAUCAUCCGGUCCCAGGGACGCCCGCAGACAACUUCCCUUAACCUGGCUCUGCCCAGUGAGUCACCAAACAACUGCUUCCUGUUCCCCGCAUGCCCUCAUGGAGUCUCAGGAGAUGAGAUGAAGCUGCUCCCUUUUCUCCUGGGAUUUUACCCGUCAGAUUCCUGGCAGCUGUGCACGGCGCCUGUGCCGGCCGUCACGUCCCAUUCCGAUCUCUGGGUCGCACGGUAAGAGGAGGACACAGGAUGCGCAGGGAGUGAAAAAGUGAUGUCGGUGGGGAGAGUGCCAAGUCCCCACUCGCAGCCAUGGGACACUUGGGGAGCAGGGGAAGCAUGCCGCUGCAGAGUUCAGAGGCCGGUAGUGAGGUUUAUUUUUGUUUGUAUGAGUAAAAAGCUGCAGAAGCCUCUGGUGGGGGUGAGGGGGGUGCAACCGGAAUGCUGUGGUUCAGACAGACUGGCCCUGGCAUGGAGUCAAGCGUGCUGACCCGGAAGGAGAGUUCCACAGGAACCUUCUAACAGCAGCUGAGGUUGGGCCACAGUGAUCCCUGGAUAGUGCCCUUGGAACCCAAGCAACACACGGACACUCUGAAUCAGGUUGGUAGCAAUAAGGACCCAAGUUGGCAUAAAAUGUGGAAGAAAAAAAUAAUUCUGUUUCUGGAAGGUGCUAAGUAACUAACUUUCUCUAAGGUAUGGGAGUUUCCUGGAGCAAGCUGGCAGAGAACUGGGAAAGAGAUCAUAUACAAUAAUACCUAAGGAGGAAGCUAACAGGCUUGGGUCUCCAGGAAAAACUUUUGCAGGUUAAGUUCCUUCUCUACGGUGGAGAUGAUCUUAUGAUGCUUACCGCUGCAAGCUGAGACACUGAACAUUACAAGUAACAGCAAUUCAAUGAGCUGACACAGGAGGUGUGGCACUUGGAGAACCUGGAUCAUGAAGCAGAGCAAGACCAGGAGAGGGCCUUCUGAGGUCUUCCUUCUGCUUAGGGGCUCCCAUAGGGAGUGCGGCUGCUUCCUUCCCUCUACAGGGUGAAGAAUCAUUCAUCCCUGAGCCUCUCUGGCCAGAGCAAUGUCUUCAACAGAAAUUAGAAGCUUUGUAACACAGGAAAUUUCCACAUUCACCUUAUAUAUGAAAGUACCUAGCAAAGUGCCUGACACAUAUUAGUAACUCAAUAAAUGCCAGCUUCCUUUCUUCCUU